RNAcentral lists this transfer RNA (86 nucleotides) under Klebsiella phage vB_KpM_FBKp34. Its description in RNAcentral is "tRNA-Ser". The record is from RNAcentral. Lineage: Duplodnaviria; Heunggongvirae; Uroviricota; Caudoviricetes.
GGUAGGUUCCGCUAAGUGGUUGGCAAUCCGGUUUGAACCCGGAGGGGUCCGAAAGGGCAGGAGUUCGACUCUUCAAUCUACCGCCA